Molecule: ribosomal RNA, 346 nt
Filed under: uncultured Capnocytophaga sp.
Lineage: Bacteria; Pseudomonadati; Bacteroidota; Flavobacteriia; Flavobacteriales; Flavobacteriaceae
Description: bacterial SSU rRNA
Rfam family: Bacterial small subunit ribosomal RNA
Source: RNAcentral
AGAGUUUGAUCCUGGCUCAGGAUGAACGCUAGCGGCAGGCCUAACACAUGCAAGUCGAGGGAGAAGCCCUUUCGGGGGCAGAAACCGGCGCACGGGUGCGUAACGCGUAUGCAACCUACCUUUCACAGGGGGAUAGCCCGAAGAAAUUUGGAUUAAUACCCCAUAAUAUUAUUGGAAGGCAUCAUUUGAUAAUUAAAACUGCGGUGGUGAAAGAUGGGCAUGCGUCCUAUUAGCUAGUUGGAGUGGUAACGGCACCCCAAGGCUACGAUAGGUAGGGGUCCUGAGAGGGAGAUCCCCCACACUGGUACUGAGACAGGGACCAGACUCCUACGGGAGGCAGCAGAAG